RNAcentral lists this ribosomal RNA (687 nucleotides) under Triticum aestivum (bread wheat). RNAcentral's name for it is "partial small subunit ribosomal RNA". Lineage: Eukaryota; Viridiplantae; Streptophyta; Magnoliopsida; Poales; Poaceae. The record is from RNAcentral.
AUGAGUGACACGAUCUCGCAGGAGGAGUUUUCUGUUCUCAUUACUACCCUAUGGGCCAUUUGGUACGCACGGAGGAAAGUUAUCCAUGAGGGAGUUCUUCAAACACCUUUCGCAACACAUGUAUUUGUAGACAGGUUCCUGGCUGAUCUUGAUUACUUGGCUUCUCCAUCUCCCGCUGCUCGAGAGGUCGUUCCUCGACCAAGGGGUUGGCUACCACCCCCGGAAGAUCAUUCAAAGAUCAACUCCGACGCAGCAGUUUCAAGGGCGGGACGUUAUGGUGCUGUUGGGGUGAUUUGCCGCGAUGAGGAAGGACUGCACCAGCGGGCGUCAGCAAUGGUCUUCGGGAACAUUGAAGACCCGGAGGUGCUGGAGGUACUUGGCAUCCGAGAGAGCUUAGCACUAGCUCAUGAUCUAUACAUCCAAAAGGUGGCGGUGGCUUCAAAUUGCAGAGUUGUGGUGGAGGCAAUUGAGAAGGGUACUUCAGCUGAGUAUGGAGCAGUGGUGUUGGAGAUUAAGCAGUUAUCUAGAGAUUUCAAUUCUUGUAUUUUCUCUCAUGAGUUUAGAAUCUCGAAUGUCGAGGCCCGCAAACUUGCAAAGCAUGCCUUAACUCUAGGGACCGGCCACCAUGUUUGGUUAGGCCACCCUGGAGAGCUUAGUUUCGUCCCUGUAAACGUUGUGACGGGUUAA